CUUAUCAAGAGAAGUGUAGGGACUGGCCCGAUGAUACUUCGGCAACAUGAUGAUGCGUGUGCCAAAUCCAGUAGCAUAAUUCAUGCUAGAAGAUAAGA
Molecule: non-coding RNA, 98 nt
Filed under: Staphylococcus xylosus
Lineage: Bacteria; Bacillati; Bacillota; Bacilli; Caryophanales; Staphylococcaceae
Description: SAM riboswitch (S box leader)
Rfam family: SAM riboswitch aptamer (S box leader)
About the family: The SAM riboswitch is found upstream of a number of genes which code for proteins involved in methionine or cysteine biosynthesis in Gram-positive bacteria. The SAM riboswitch acts at the level of transcription termination control.
Source: RNAcentral